This 254-nucleotide ribosomal RNA is filed under the name uncultured prokaryote. RNAcentral describes it as "partial 16S ribosomal RNA". It matches the Rfam family "Bacterial small subunit ribosomal RNA", at positions 522 to 775 of the family's 1533-position model. The record is from RNAcentral.
AAUACAGAGGUCCCAAGCGUUGUUCGGAUUCACUGGGCGUAAAGGGUGCGUAGGCGGUCGGGUAAGUCUGACGUGAAAUCUCCAAGCUCAACUUGGAAAUGGCGUCGGAUACUAUUCGGCUUGAGGAGUGGAGGGGAGACUGGAAUUCUCGGUGUAGCAGUGAAAUGCGUAGAUAUCGAGAGGAACACCAGUGGCGAAGGCGAGUCUCUGGACACUUCCUGACGCUGAGGCACGAAAGCCAGGGGAGCAAACGG